ACAACCGUAGCUCAGUUGGUUAGAGCACCACCUUGACAUGGUGGGGGUCGGUGGUUCGAAUCCACUCGGUUGUA
Molecule: transfer RNA, 74 nt
Organism: Agarivorans albus MKT 106
Lineage: Bacteria; Pseudomonadati; Pseudomonadota; Gammaproteobacteria; Alteromonadales; Alteromonadaceae
Rfam family: tRNA
About the family: Transfer RNA (tRNA) molecules are approximately 80 nucleotides in length.
Source: Rfam